Long non-coding RNA from Gasterosteus aculeatus aculeatus (three-spined stickleback), 513 nucleotides. Lineage: Eukaryota; Metazoa; Chordata; Actinopteri; Perciformes; Gasterosteidae. The record is from Ensembl.
CUCCAGCGUUAUUUUCCCCUGUAUGUGCUUCCUCUUUGGACAUGAUGGUGGGACACGUGGGGUGAAAUGGGCCAGUUUGAGGAACACAGCAGAACAGCACCACUGUGGUUUCUUCGAUGGCAGCCAUUGAUUUACACUCUCACUUCUACAGGGCUCGGCAGGGGAGUCGGGGUUUCCAGGGCUUCCGGGUGCCGCGGGACUGUCUGGGUUCAAAGGUCACAAGGGGGGGAGAGGAGAGACGGGCCCUGGAGGACGCCAGGUAUUACACCUCACACUCACGCUUCACUGUUCAACACACAAACUCACAACACUGGAGGAGUUAUGGCAUCAAACCAAUGGUGGUAAAGACGCCUUUCCAGGGGAGGAGAUCACGGGCAGCGAUUCCACAGAACAGGGUCAACAGGGGGAGCGAGGCACAGAUGGAGAUCCAGGGACUCCCGGUGUACCUGUGUGCAGUGAGUUACAAGGACCAAUGGAUGGCAAGAACAUCUCCACCCAUCACUUACAAGCAGC